CUCGGGGCGCAGCCUGUGGCCCGGGUCCAGUCGGGCCCCGCCGACCCCGCCCGCCUGGCCCGCCCUCCCCUGCCGGCCGCCGCUAACACCCGGAGGAGCGGACUCCCGGCGCGCGGAGAGCCAGGCCGGCGCGGGCAGCGGACUGGGCAUGCUCGGCAGCCCGGAGGCUCGCGGUGGCAAGUCGGAAGCGUUCGCACCAGCGAGGCAGCGGCCGGGCGGCGGCGGCGGCCGCGGGCAGGACGGAGCGGGCAGGGCGGCCAGGAGAGGCAGCCGUCCCUCCGCGCACGGCGAGCCGGCGGGAGAGCGCGAUCCCGCUGCGGAGCCCCGACGCUGCCCUGCCCCGGAUUUCAGUGCGCGGCGUGGGGCUCGGCGAGCGGAAUUCCGGCGGCGGCCGCGACUCCGGUGCAACUGUCAGAGUAACGCACCAUGAGGGGAAAUUUGUCUCCGACUUAUCAAACUUUUGUCAAUUCACUGACCUCUCUCUAACUCCUGGACCCGCCACUUUCUUUGGUGAUGAGGGUGCAGUUGUGGAAAGUGGCCCCUCAUCCCAGCCUUGUGUGGUGUCUGAGAAAGAGACUAUGCAGAUAAUCUCAGGAGCAGAAGUGAGAUUGUUGCCUUCACACAGAUUUUUUUCCUGGUAUUCUGGCAUGCGACUCCUGCCUCACACAGCCGGUUGAGAGAAAAAUGGUCCUGAAGCCUUGACUCUAGAAGCAUAGCGUGGAGCGGUGUCAUUGGCUUUCAAGAUAACUAAGCUGUUUUCCAAAUGUCCGUCUGCAUCUCGACUUUCACUGCCUGCACACCAAUUUCAGCAUCUUCCCUGGAGAAGAAUGACAGAGGAGUCUGUGGACUGGUAGCCACGUAGAAAUACUUGUUCUCUCAGGCACCCCAGGUUCUAACAGUGAAUGUUGUUAAGUCCGUCAGCAUGCUCUGUGGACUCUGCUCUCUGCAAUAGACAGUGUUCGAAUUUUAUUCAGGCAGCCUUUUAAAAUAGGCAGUAACCAGCCAUUCCAUCCUGUCUUUGAACGUCUCAGUACAUCUUUGUCGUGGCAGAAGUACAUGGGUACUCAUGUAAGUCGUAAGUGCAGGACAAAAUCCCUUGGGUGUCAUGUCGUUUGUGUUUGGGUGGAAGAGGUUUUUAUUCUAAGAUUCAUCUGGAACGCUCACUGACUUUUGGAAAUCAGUCUUCCGAGACUAACAGUAAAUAUUUGAACGAUGUGCCUGGUUUGCGUUACCGAUGCUGCCGUGCUGGGUGGCGCGAUGCCCUGAUCACACAAGAGUUCAAGGAUGCCAGAAACAGCUGAAGAAGCAUUCUCCUCUUUGGCCUUCCAGAUCGAAACCCAAGAUUUUGGCCGAGUAUGGAAAUUGAAGACAGCUCCGGCAUAUCUUUUGAUGUAUAUGGUAAUGUAUAUUUUAUUUGUGUAGGCUUAAAGCCUAUUAUUUCUAAGAUAUGACUGAGAAUGUUCCAAAUCUAUAAUUUGCUUUGAAAGAGUAUAAACAUCUUUUGUUUUAAUUAUAGUAAAAUAUACGUAACAGAAAAUGGACCAUUCAUGGUGUUAAGUGGACUCACUUUGUUGAGCAACCAUCACCGCCGUCUGUCCAGCACCCCCUCAUCCUCACGAGCUGAGAUGCUGUCCACAUCAAGCACUAGCUCUCCGUUCCCCCGCCCCUCAGCCCUGGCACCCACUCUUAACUUUCUCCGUCUGUGAUUUUAUUUACUCUAGGGACCUCAUGUAAGUGGAACUGCACAGUACUUGUCCUUUUGGGCGUGGCUUAUUUCUAUCUUUAAAAAG
This is a long non-coding RNA of Zalophus californianus (California sea lion), 1790 nucleotides long. The record is from Ensembl. NCBI's taxonomy places the organism in Eukaryota, Metazoa, Chordata, Mammalia, Carnivora, Otariidae.